GACGGUAAACGAGUAAAAAAGAAGUAGUAAAAAGAAAAAAAUCUGUACGAAGAGUGAAGUAACAUUAAUUUUCAGUUGGUAAACACUGCAGCGUAUGGUAAAACCCACACAGUCAAAGACAAUGGGAAAAAUGGACCUGGAAAAGUGGAAUACCCUGUUUUGUUGUCAAUACAAAACUUGAAACAGCAAUCGUGGACAGCCUGCGUGGACCAUCCCGGGUAAACAAUAUGCUGUCAAGAUUAAACCUCAAAACAAUAUCCUAUGGAACAGCCAGCUGUUGAAGGAAGAGAACUCCCGCAGAUUACUCAUAUGCAACGGUGGAAGUCCAGUCUGGUAGUCAGUUCGCAACAUACGUCACGCCAACUGUUCCAAUAAGUCAAGAGGCUUUACAAGUUACAGGCAUUUCAAUGACUGCUGGGACAAUGACAUUCAUUGGAUAAGUUGUGCAGCCAGUGUCGGGACAAUAACAUUCAUUAGAUAAGUUGUGCAGCCAGUGUCAAUAUGAGUGGCUGUCGAAAGAAUUAUACAUUGGCUUGAAAAGUUUCGAGAUGUGUGCUUAGUUGUUCAUAAUGGUCGUCGUUUUUAGCUCGACUAUUAUAUAUGAAGUAUAUAUAGUGGAGCUAUCCUACUCACCCCGGCGUCGGCGUGAGCAUCUGCGUUAGCGUUAGCGUGCAAAUGUUAAAGUUUUCGUACUACCCCAAUUAUUUUCAUUGUCCCUUGACAUAUUGCUUUCAUAUUUUGCAUACUUGUUUACCAACAUGACCCUAACCCAUAAACAAGAGCAGACAACUUUAUCAAGCAUUUUGUCAUAAUUAUGGCCCCUUUUCCACUUAGAAUAUGCAGCAAAUGUUAAAGUUUUCGUUCUACCCCAUUUAUUUUCAUUGUCCCUUGACAUAUUGCUUUCAUAUUUUGCAUACUUGUUAACCAACAUCACCCCAACCUAUAAACAAGAGCAGACAACUCUAUCAAGCAUUUUGUCAUAAUUAUUGCCCCUUUUAUACUUAGAAUAUGCAUAUUAUUGAUAAACCUAUGUUAAAGUUUGCGUACUACCC
Long non-coding RNA from Dreissena polymorpha, 1052 nucleotides. RefSeq lists it as uncharacterized. The record is from RefSeq and is a predicted model, not a curated record. The transcript has 3 exons. Lineage: Eukaryota; Metazoa; Mollusca; Bivalvia; Myida; Dreissenidae.